AGUUUGAUCAUGGCUCAGAAUCAACGCUGGCGGCGUGCCUAACACAUGCAAGUCGAACGGGAAAGUGGAGCAAUCCAUGAGUAUAGUGGCGACCGGGUGAGUAACACGUGACUACCUACCCUUGAGUGGGGGAUAACCUCGGGAAACCGAGGCUAAUACCGCAUAAUAUCGAGAGAUCAAAGGAGCAAUCCGCUCUUGGAGGGGGUCGCGGCUGAUUAGCUAGUUGGUAGGGUAAUGGCCUACCAAGGCGAAGAUCGGUAUCCAGCCUGAGAGGGCGCACGGACACACUGGAACUGAAACACGGUCCAGACUCCUACGGGAGGCAGCAGUGGGGAAUUUUGCGCAAUGGGGGAAACCCUGACGCAGCAACGCCGCGUGGAGGAUGAAGCCCCUUGGGGUGUAAACUCCUUUCGACCGGGACGAUAAUGACGGUACCGGUGGAAGAAGCACCGGCUAACUCUGUGCCAGCAGCCGCGGUAAUACAGAGGGUGCGAGCGUUGUUCGGAAUUAUUGGGCGUAAAGGGCGCGUAGGCGGUGCGGUAAGUCACCUGUGAAACCUCUGGGCUCAACUCAGAGCCUGCAGGCGAAACUACCGUGCUGGAGGGUGGGAGAGGUGCGUGGAAUUCCCGGUGUAGCGGUGGAGUGCGUAGAUAUCGGGAGGA
This 662-nucleotide ribosomal RNA is filed under the name uncultured bacterium. Its description in RNAcentral is "bacterial SSU rRNA". It matches the Rfam family "Bacterial small subunit ribosomal RNA", at positions 10 to 705 of the family's 1533-position model. The record is from RNAcentral.